Long non-coding RNA from Asparagus officinalis (garden asparagus), 403 nucleotides. RefSeq lists it as uncharacterized. NCBI's taxonomy places the organism in Eukaryota, Viridiplantae, Streptophyta, Magnoliopsida, Asparagales, Asparagaceae. The record is from RefSeq and is a predicted model, not a curated record. The transcript has 2 exons.
UCUAAAUAUAAUAUAUACUUUCUUAUGUAGAUUGCACCUGAUUGGAGGCAGGCCUCAUCUCUCAAGAAGGUGGUAGAAGAUAAAAUUACAAAAGAUGGUGCCAUUGGCAUUGGCAUUGCUGCGACAGCCGUGGGACUUUUGGUUGGUGGAAUUGCUGCUGCGGUUGCUCGGAAGAGGUGAAAGAAUCCUUAGGGGGCAACGCAUACCAUAAAAGACCUUCGACCUUGUUGCUGACUCUAUCAUGCCUUCAAUCUUUUGCAUUUACAGUUGCCAAACAUGUUACAAUAAUAGUUUAAAGAUUUAAUUUACAGUAUGUUAUCUCGAUCUGCAUGUAGAAGAUACCUGCACAUGUUUAUAUCCUGUUUUUUUCACAGUUAUAAAUGUGAGUUUUGUUCAAUUGAAG